CAGUGGAGGCUGUGCAGUCAUCCUGCUCCUCUCAGGGAGGGGCCUGCUGUCCUGAGAGCCCAGAGGGGGCUUCUCGUCAAAGCCCUUUGGGUGCCGUCUGGACCAGAGAGGUCCGAGUGAGGGGCCUGGGGGAUCAGCAGGGCACUCUGGCCCUUGUCGCUCUUCUGAUGCCCAGGCUGACAUGGAGGCGGGGGGUCCCUCACCUGCUGGUUGGAGAGCAGCGAGAAGCUGACAUUGCAGACCCUGAGACCCAGCCCUCAUGUGCCCGAGGCUGCCAAGGACGUGUGGAGCUGAAGACGAGGGCUGCUGGAGGCAGAGGGCUAUGGGGAUGCUGAGGACGGAACGUAUACUCCUGGCCCCCAAGGAGUGGAGGAUCGGCAGAGCCCAGACCCCGCAGGGCACCCCGUGCCAGCGUCCAACUCCAGGGGCUUCUAGGAGCUGGGGCGUCUUGGUCCCUUCUGGGUAUGGAGGGAGUGAGAGCCCAACAGAACUCGGAACCGGUAAGCAGGCGCCUCAUCCUAGAGAAGCCCCUGCCCAGCUGGCUUGGCCGGAGCCCUUGAUGAGCAGCGUGUCCUCCUGUGCGUCCUGAGGUCCCAAGGCUGCAGCCACAGACAUUGGUCAUUUGCCCAGAAGAACCAAAGGGGGCCCAGAGCAGCCGGACGCGCCUUCCUGUGAACUGCCCGCAGCACCGGAUCCCGACCCAGGACCCUUCUCCCUGCUCCCGCCUAGAGCUUGCCUUCCCCUCCCGAUAUUUCUAAUUUCUACUUUUCAUUUGACAUUACUUACGGUGCCUUUCAGUUGAGGCCUCACUGUCACAGCAUUUAAUUCUUUACACUGUACAUCAUGCACUUCCUAAGCAUGGAGUAUACUCAAUGAUGCUGAGUGACCUUCCCCGCGGUUCCACUCCAGAGGAAACCCUGACCCGAGGGCUUGCUCCCUGGCCGCACUCACCUUCCGAGAUGGACCCCACUGUGGAUCUCCCUCAGCAGAUCCAUUUCUGACCUAAAGGAACAAAAGCCGCCCACCCCCCAGCCCCCCUCCCCCAGCCGCUGACG
RNAcentral lists this long non-coding RNA (1055 nucleotides) under Bos mutus (wild yak). RNAcentral's name for it is "lncRNA (ENSBMUG00000009704.1)". The record is from RNAcentral. Lineage: Eukaryota; Metazoa; Chordata; Mammalia; Artiodactyla; Bovidae.